This is a non-coding RNA of Callithrix jacchus (white-tufted-ear marmoset), 690 nucleotides long. The record is from RefSeq and is a predicted model, not a curated record. NCBI's taxonomy places the organism in Eukaryota, Metazoa, Chordata, Mammalia, Primates, Cebidae.
CAUGCGCACUAAGGGUACUCAUGCGCACUGGGGAAAUGAGGUCCUGGGGCAAGGAAUUCACGCCGUAUUCAAAAAAGGAACGCGGCUCCAUUAGCCGUGAGGUAAUAAAAGGCCUUGAAUUCAGCUGUGAAGUGGGUAACCGGGAACGUGCUUUCAGGACCCCUCUCUCUGCUGACAGCUUUCCUUUUGCUUAAUAAAGUGUACUCCACUCACUCUUCGGUAUCUGCAUGCCCGUUUCUUCCAGGUCAUGAGACGAGAACCCGGACCUAGCUGAGGUCCAUAAAUGGAGAAGAAAUUUACUCCAUGGUGGACUCACCCAUAACUGAUUUAGAUGAUGAGGUGUGGGACAUUUUCAGAUGAUUAUAUUCAGUUGCUGUUGGUAUCCUGGACCUAGCAUAGAACGUCAACACCAAGACAAAAGUAUGCCAAAUUGCAGGGUUUAUUGCCGGCAACCACGGAGGACUCACGUCUCUCCAACCCGUGGCAGGGAAAGAAGGGUGACAAGACCUUUUUAUACCGGGACAUGGAUGAAUCUGGAAACCAUAAUUCUCAGCAAACUGACACAAGAACAGAAAAUCAAACACCGCAUGUUCUCCCUCCUAGGCGGGUGUUGAACAAAGAGAACACAUGGACACAGGUAGGGGAGCAUCACACACUGGGGUCAGUUGGUGGGGGACUAGGGGAGAGACA